Molecule: long non-coding RNA, 206 nt
Filed under: Medicago truncatula (barrel medic)
Lineage: Eukaryota; Viridiplantae; Streptophyta; Magnoliopsida; Fabales; Fabaceae
Description: long non-coding RNA (MTRU_LNC002319)
Source: RNAcentral
UUUGACAGAUGUUUGGAUUACAACUUAAAGAAUUUCAAAUCCUUGCUAAAGAGGCAACAUCAAAGUUCCAGACACGUGGAAAACAAGCUAAAGUUGUCGAAAAGAUUUAGUUUUUAGCUGUUAGUUUGUUAGUUAUUUUCUUAUGAAUAUACAGUAGUUUUUCAUAGAAAAAAGGGGUCACAAAUCAUUAACAAAAGUUCUAUAAA